Molecule: ribosomal RNA, 253 nt
Filed under: uncultured bacterium
Lineage: Bacteria
Description: partial 16S ribosomal RNA
Rfam family: Bacterial small subunit ribosomal RNA
Source: RNAcentral
UACGGGGGGAGCAAGCGUUGUUCGGAUUUACUGGGCGUAAAGGGCGCGUAGGCGGCGCAACAAGUCACUUGUGAAAUCUCCGGGCUUAACCCGGAGCGGCCAAGUGAUACUGUCGUGCUAGAGUGCGGAAGGGGCUACCGGAAUUCUCGGUGUAGCGGUGAAAUGCGUAGAUAUCGAGAGGAACACCUGCGGCGAAGGCGGGUAGCUGGGCCGACACUGACGCUGAUGCGCGAAAGCCAGGGGAGCGAACGGG